RNAcentral lists this long non-coding RNA (671 nucleotides) under Ananas comosus (pineapple). RNAcentral's name for it is "long non-coding RNA (ACOM_LNC037234)". The record is from RNAcentral. Lineage: Eukaryota; Viridiplantae; Streptophyta; Magnoliopsida; Poales; Bromeliaceae.
AAAUUUAUAUGAAUUUUCUCUCUAUAUAUUUAUAUAUAAUCACUUCUAUAACAAAUGCUUCCCGAAUACACACACAAUUCCCCAAUAUAUUAUUCUAAAAUCGAAAAAAAAACCCCAAAAAAAGCAAAAAAAAAAAAAAAAAAAAAUUCGCCACGUGAAAUAUACCAAAAAGUUAGAAAAAUUGGGGAGGAAACGGUGGAUUAACCUGCUCGGAUCCGCUUCUUCGGAGGGAGGGGGACGAAGAUCGCGGCGAGAUCGAGAUCGUCGUCGGGGACGACGCGGAAGCGCCGCCUCGGCGGCAACGGCGACGGCGGCGACAACGACUGCGACCGGAGCCGCCGCUUCGGCGGUGGGAGGAGGAGCCUCCGCCGCGGCUUCACCGGGGGUUGCGGCGGCGACUUCGGGGCCUUGAUCUUAUACUCCUCCCCCUUCGGCGUCACGCACUCGUCGUCGUCGUCGUCGUCGUCGACGCCGCCAUUGGAGGCUGCAGAGACUCGGAUCUGCGGCGGAGGCAGGAGAAUCGUGGCCGUCGAUCUCGGAGCCCAUCGUAGGAUGAAGGAUUAUGCGGACGUGAUCGGAGGAGGGGGGGGAAAUUAUGCGGGAGGAGGAAGCGCCAAAGGAGUUCGUUAAUAAAUAGUGGAAUUGCGAAGGGGAAUGGGGGAGAAAACGAG